This is a non-coding RNA of Cherax quadricarinatus, 8938 nucleotides long. Lineage: Eukaryota; Metazoa; Arthropoda; Malacostraca; Decapoda; Parastacidae. The record is from RefSeq and is a predicted model, not a curated record.
GUGUUACAGCACUGGUCUGAGUCAGGUCAGUGUGUUACAGCACUGGUCUGAGUUAGGUCAAUGUGUUACAGCACUGGUCUGAGUCAGGUCAGUGUGUUACAGCACUGGUCUGAGUUAGGUCCAUGUGUUACAGCACUGGUCUGAGUUAGGUCAAUGUGUUACAGCACUGGUCUGAGUCAGGUCAGUGUGUUACAGCACUGGUCUGAGUCAGGUCAGUGUGUUACAGCACUGGUCUGAGUUAGGUCAAUGUGUUACAGCACUGGUCUGAGUCAGGUCAGUGUGUUACAGCACUGGUCUGAGUUAGGUCAAUGUGUUACAGCACUGGUCUGAGUUAGGUCAAUGUGUUACAGCACUGGUCUGAGUCAGGUCAGUGUGUUACAGCACUGGUCUGAGUUAGGUCAAUGUGUUACAGCACUGGUCUGAGUUAGGUCAGUGUGUUACAGCACUGGUCUGAGUUAGGUCAAUGUGUUACAGCACUGGUCUGAGUUAGGUCAAUGUGUUACAGCACUGGUCUGAGUCAGGUCAGUGUGUUACAGCACUGGUCUGAGUCAGGUCAGUGUGUUACAGCACUGGUCUGUGUUUUAGGACUUGCCAUGGGUUUAAACCCCACCAUUCCAUGAUAUCUUCAAUUAAUCUGAGAGAAAUUGGGUUGAUAUAAUAUAGAUUAAUAGUUUACACUUGACAUCUGGUGGCAUCGUUUCAUUUCACCAAGCAAGAGGACACAAGUUGCUACUGCAAGUUGCAAGUUGGACGUUGCAUCUUAACUCAAUGUAUGGAAGGUUUAAGAGAUGCAUGAGUUUCCCUGUCUCUUAAUAUCAUGUUUAUUUUUCCCCUAUAAUCUACCUUGUCCAUAAUUAUCGCAUUUGCUUUGUCUGCUUUCAUAAAGUGAAGUCCAGGAUGUUUCCUUAAUUCAUGGUAUAACUUAACAAAUCUUAGAGGACAAUUGUGUUGUAGAUGUCUGAGCGAUGAUUUGUUAAGUUAUACCAUGAAUUAAGGAAAGUUCCUGGACUUCACCUUAUGACAGCAGACAAAGCAAGUGACAGUAAUUAUGCACAAGGUAGAUUAUAGGGGGGAAAUAAUGUAUUAGAAGACAGGGGAACUGACGUGCUCCUUAAACCCCUGGUAAACCAGUCCUAAACUUGUAGCAGGAUUAGCUUGCCAUGGAUAUUGAGUAGAUUGUUAAAAACACACAGCAUGUGGCUUAUGGCAAUUUAUUGAUAAAAUAUGUUUUCUGCCUGGAACUUUAUCAGUUCUUUAUCUAUUUGUGAGAGUUGAUAGUGUCUGGUGGAUUAAAACAUCUUUUUAAAUAAAAGGCGAUAAGCUGCAUAUUACCUUAUUAACAUACUUGUCGGUAUGUAAUAUCACUACACAAAUAACCUGCACACAGGAGAAAAACUUACGACAAUGUUCUAGCCUGACUUGGUCCAUUAACUAAGUCACAUUAACUAGUUAAUGGUCCGAGUUGGAUUAAAACGUCAUCGUAAGUCUCUCUCUCUCUCUCUCCUAUGUGCGGGAUAUUUGUGUAUUGUUCCAGUCAUGGUAUUGUGCCUUUUUGUUCCUCAUAAUGCCAUUGGUAUAUAUUGCGUUUAAAAUUAUGUCAGUAUUAUUUUGUACGUCAGUGAAUGUUGCAUAUUCCAGAGACAGAUUUUCCAAUAUCAAGCGCUGCUGAGCUGCAAGUUUUGAAAGUAUAAACUUCUUAACACUAGGUUUAAAUUCACAGAAAUAUGAAUCUUCUUUCAAUAAACCAGCCGUAUCCCACCAAGGCGGGGUGGCCAAAAAAGAAAAACAAAAGUUUAUCUUUUUAAAUUUAGUAAAAUAUACAGAAGGGGUUAGAAAUGUAAAUAUUACAGGUAAAUCACAUUCACUGUUUAUAACUGUGAUUAGAAUUUUGGGAAAAGUUUGCCAUAAAUAGUUAAUAUUAUUACCUGAGAGUACAACCUUACUUGAAGAAUUUUUAAGAUAUCCCCUACAGUAAAACAUAUGUCAGCUAAGAGUGUAUUUAGAUAAGGUCUCAAAAUGCAGUUUAGUCAGGUCAUAAAUAUUUUUCUCACCUUUAGAAGCAUUAGACAAUGGACGUUAGUACUUUAGCAAUUGUUAGAAUUGUUAUAGGCGUUGCUGGAGCUUGGAAUGAUGGUCAGUUCAUAUUUCAGUUAUCACUUAAUGUAGGCAUCUAGGGAGUAAUUUAUACAGUCAGUUCUUAUAAAGCUCCUCUAUAUAGUACAGCUUUUUGUAAAUGAAAUUGAAAAAGUACAUUCGAAAUUGAAGAGUUCAUGGAAAAACUUUCGUAGUAUAUGUUGUUCAGUUUUCUACGUACUUUUUCAAUCGAAUUAACAAAAGAAUCGUGAACGAGUAACUUCAAAAGAGAGCCGAGUGUACAGUGUUCAAGAAUUAUAUUGUUGCCACGGAUAGAGAGUGAGCAGUAUUACUGACUUGGUUUGUCAUCAGAGACCAGAGUCAUGACUGGUACUCUACAAGAUAUAUAUACCUGCUGUAUUGUGUCUCCUGUCAACAUUACCGUCGUCAUCUACAGUGAUGGUACAGUAACUUAGAACAAAUGGAUGGUAUUUCCACUAAUGUUAUUUAAUGUAAAUUAUUUAAUUGAUGUGAAGGGAGCUAAGGAACACAGUAGUGAUUUAAAUUGGCUUUAAUUUUGGGCUAGAUUGCCUAUACAAAUGCUCCUUGCUUUACAACGGCUCGAACUGCGAUAUUUUGACUUAUGAUGGUGCGAUAGCGAUGCAUAUUCAGUAGUCAUCAAGCUUUAAUAGAAUAAACUUUCAUUCAUUUAUUUCCUUUUCAGUACCAGCAUUUAUCUAGUUACAGUAAUUAUUUGUUUAUUUACUUACUCAGUUAUGUUUAUCAUAGCAUAUUCACAUUCGACUUGGGAUAUUUUUUAUUUACAAUGGGUUCAUCGGAAUGUAACCCCAACGUAAGUCAAGGGCCAUAUGUAGGGAUUUCCAUCUGAGCUGUAUAAACCUACCCAUCACAACUAUGUAUUUCUCUCUUCCUGGUAAACCAUGUCCGUCAUUUUGGACUCAAACAUUGCGGUGAGGGAGGCUUGUGCUCUCACAUGAUGAACGUACUAAUUGUUUUACAAAUGGCAAAAUUUGUGAAUUUAUUUUGAAUAUUAUUAUUGUAAAUGAACAGGUGCUUCUUGACUUACAAUGGGGUUAUCUUCUGAUGAGUUCAUCAUAUGUUGGAAAUAUAAGUCGAACACACGAUAAAUAAGUAAAUAAACAAAUUAUUACUCUAAAUACCAGUAUUGAAAAGUAAAUGAAUUUAAGUUUAUCCUAUCAAUAAGUGUACAGUACUCUACAGUACAGAAUGUGGAUUCUUAUUACACGAUCGUAAAGUGACGAGCACCUGUACAGUGGAACCAUGGUUUUUGUAUGCCCUAGUCUGUAUGCAGAACUAUAGUUAUUCUCUAUAAAAUGUAUUUUUUUUUUUUAAAUAUUUCCCAUAAGAAAUAAUGUAAAUCCAAUUACGUAAUCUGUUCUAGACACCCAAAAGUAUUAACCAAAAAUACAUUUUAUAGAGAAUAGCUGUAGUUUUACAUACAGACUAGGGCAUACGAAAACCCUGGUUCCACUGUAUCAGUGGCCAGAGCUGCAGACUUCCAACUCCAUGGGCACCAGAAAAGCCCCGUAACUCUCACACUGCUGACACUAAAAUAAUCCUAACCAGAAUCCCUACCAAGUACCAAGAUUGUGAUAGGCUCCACUCUUACCCCAGACCACAUUUCUACAGAACUUGGUGCUAUCUCAGGUGCCUGGGGCAUAUAAUCAAAUAUCACCUGACACCUUAUAGGAAUUUGAGAGUUGUGUAAAACUCAUAUUUCGGGUAUCAUGAUCACCUCUCACAAUCCCCAGUCUAAGAGUUCUGGUUAGAUUUCUCUUAAUAACUACACGAGGUAUUGUGCUCGCUCUUACGUUUGGGAGUCUCCCAGAGAUGGUGCACUCGGUUCUUCCUUCGUCUUUUCUAUUUGUCAUUACUUUUGUUGUUCACUAUUUCACCAGUGUUAACUGCUUCCUCUGAGGUUCAUUUGUAGCAGAUUUGCUGUGAGGUUCACUUGUAGCAGGUUUCCUCUCAGGUUCACUUGUAGUAGGUUUCCUCUCAGGUUCACUUGUAGCAGGUUUCCUCUCAGGUUCACUUGUAGUAGGUUUCCUCUCAGGUUCACUUGUAGUAGGUUUCCUCUCAGGUUCACUUGUAGCAGGUUUCCUCUCAGGUUCCCUUGUAGUAGGUUUCCUCUCAGGUUCACUUGUAGCAGGUUUCCUCUCAGGUUCCCUUGUAGUAGGUUUCCUCUCAGGUUCACUUGUAGUAGGUUUCCUCUCAGGUUCACUUGUAGCAGGUUUCCUCUCAGGUUCCCUUGUAGUAGGUUUCCUCUCAGGUUCACUUGCAGCAGGUUUCCUCUCAGGUUCACUUGCAGCAGGUUUCCUCUCAGGUUAAUUUAAAGCAGGUUUCACAGUAUAAGUUUGGAAAAUAGAUUUAUAAAGUCAUUGAAGUUUAUAGUGUAAUUAAGCAUGAUCAUAAUUGUUACACAUAGACAUAAUAAGAAGUUGCGAAUUUUUGGUACAGUGUGAAGUGUCUGCCACAACGUCCAACACCCGAUAUAUUGUGGUGGUACGUAGGCUUGGAAUUUUUUUCUAGAAUUCAUUUGUCCUGUAAAAUUAUUUUGUGGAUAUUUUAGGAUAUUCUUAAUAUAUGGCAGUGAUAAGGUGAACUUGCGUAGCAUUUACAGCCAAAAAUCAAAAGUGAAUUUUUUAAUUGGAUGUGCUUACACAGUACGUAUACUGGGCAGCUCAAAUCAGUGAUUAGAGGACACUAUUUACACAGUAAAUAUUUACACUCAUUUUACAGGUAAAUAACAUCCACUAUUUAUAGCUGCAGAGUUUCCCGUAAAUAAUUAUUAUUUGUAACAUUACCUGAGAAUAUUUGAGGUAUAACUUCCCUACAGUAUAACAUGUGUCAGCUAAGAUUGUAUUUGGAUGAGGUCUCAAAAUACAAUUGACUUUGCAGAUAGUGUCCUCCUAGCAUAUAUAUUGGCACUCCUGCCAUUUCCAUACAGUGCAAAACAGAGCAUGAUUUCUUUCAUGAAGUCAGGAUUGUCAAGGUAAAAUGGCUAGCAGAAGUUUCCUGAUGGAGACCUACAGUGAAUUGUCAGUAUUGUUGGCUUCUCCACUGGAAAUUCUACACGUAUACUCUCGACAAUGAUGUUUAUCGAAAUUGUACAUGCCCUUAGCGAAGAAGAGAAGAGCAGUAGCGUAGGAGUUGCAUUUAGUGUAAUAUUUGGUUAGCCGAUGGAUGCCAGCUGUGCUGAUACAGUAUUCCAUAUCUGGCUUUUAUAUAACAUCAGUUUUAGCCAGUGUUGUCAUGGCUAACCCACCACAGAUAUGCAUAGUGUAAACAGGGGCCCACAUAAACAGGUACCUAUGUAAACAGGGACCCAUGUAAACAGGGGUCCAUGUAAACAGGGACCCAUGUAAACAAGAACCCAGGAAUGGGUUACUCAAUGCUUUUUAGGGAUAACUAGUUUAUGGAGUUAAAAUUAUGUACUGCAGAACAAAUGUCCAAGGUUAAGUCUGUACACAUUAUAUUAUAAUGCAAAACUUAGCCAACCAUCUCAAGGAUGCUGUGUUAAUAUUAGUCUAUUCUUCUGGUUGUAGUAACAUGAAAGCAAGUCUAAAAGUCUUACCUGGGAUAAGCAAAGAAUACAGGAGGGCCCCGUUCAUACAGUUCUCAUGCGACUGUUGUGCGAUAAUGGCGGUACAACGGUAGAAGCACCAGACAUAACGAACAGUGAUUCAGUUGAAAGCCAGAAAAAUGUGGAACACCAGAGGUACUGUAUAUGCAGGGUCCUUCUGUAUUGGCUUAUUUAAGCUUCAUUGGUCAUGGUAUAAGUGUGGUAAAUGACUUCACAGUACAGGAGGCAGUGUCCAGUUAUGAUGGUGACAUCUCUAGGGUAUUUUCAGGUUUACAAAAGUGAUAUUGCAUCCAAAGUUUUGAAGACAUUUAAAGUUGGUCAGAGAAACAGCUGGGUUUAUGUCUUCUAUUUGUAAAAUUUAAAAAAAAAAAAUAGAUUUUUGUUGCAUGAUUUUUUAUUGAUUAGGGUUAUUUAUAACCUAAUACUUUGUAUGUAGUUUUGUCAUUUCUUGUCUUAAAUAGUAGUUGAAAGUGACUGUACUUAGAAAAAUUGUUAUAAGUAGUAGUCUUGGUUAGUAAGUAAUGUAUUGCGUGUCACCCGGCAGGCUCGCAUGAGAGCGCCCAUCACCCAUCCCCCAUACUUGUAAUACAGACAUAAGACAUGAGAAGAAUGCCCCUUCUCCAUUUCUCCUAUUCUGUAAGACAAAAUAUCUCAUUAUGUUUGGGUACUACAGACAUAAAAUGAAGUCUCCACCUCCCUAUUCCUCUUCCUUGCCUGCAUGACAUAUAACUCUGUACAGUGGACCCCCGCAUAACGAUCACCUCCAAAUGCGACCAAUUAUGUAAGUGUAUUUAUGUAAGUGCGUUUGUACGUGUAUGUUUGGGGGUCUGAAAUUUACUAAUCUACUUCAGAAUAUUCCUUAUGGGAAAAAAUUCGGUCAGUACUGGCACCUGAACAUACUACUGGAAUGAAAAAAGUUCGUUAACAGGGGGUCCACUGUAUAUCAUUUACUGCAGGCAUGAGAACACGACUCGACUGCUGUGACAAGCUUGGCGGCUCCUGCGCAUCCUGCCCGGGUUACACAUUCCAUAGUAUAGAUAGACUCUAAGACAUGCGUAGUCAGGUCUUAAGGUUUGGUAGUAUUCUUGAUAUCCUCAUACUGUACUGUAGUUGUAACACUUUGUGGGGCGAUGUUUAAGUGCAAACAAGAUGAACGUGGAUAUAACUGGAUGAACGUAUACUGUAAUUGUAGAUAUGACUUAAGACUGGAUGAGUGUGGCUGUCUUGUUGAAAAUGGUUUAGGUGUAAUAGGAGUAUAAUUGACUCGCGAAAUUGUAAUAAAUCACGGAACAGAUGGGGUUUGAGUACAUGUAAUUGAUUAGCUGGGAAACCAGUUGAACACAGCGAGACCCAUUUUGUUUCAGAUAAAGUUGGUUGAGAAUGAUAAGCCAGGUUAUUAUGAACAUAGUUUAUGUGACUAAAAUUGGAUUGAAAUUUAUCAGUAAGGCUUAUAAAGUUGAGUAUAUUUGUUGGAGAUAUUGAGUGAUUCAGAACUGUAAUGUGCAUGACUAAAAUUAGGUAAGUGUAAGUUCAACAUUUGUCCAUUCUUGGACUGGUUGAAUAAAACAUGUUUAGUUCCUUAAGUAGGAUUUUAAGAUUGGAUGGAUGUGACUUGUGAAUGCUGUAUGUCACAUUUCAGGAGUGAAUCAGUGGCUGCAAAGUUUAACGAUUGCUGAAAGCACGUUUGUGUGAGACUAUCGUUUUCAUUUUUUUUUUUUUUUUUUUUUUUUUUUUUUUUUUUUUUUUUUUUUUGCCUUGUAUGUUUUCCCAGUGUAUAAUUUUACGAUUGCAAAGGUUUUGGCUUGUGGGAGGCAGCAACACACAGGUGCCAGGUUGUGUUGUGGUUCUGUAAUCAUGAUUGCGAGCAGUGGAGCGCUGGUUACAAAACAAUUGGAGCUGCUGGUGUUGCAUGUCCCAUAUUUUCUUGUAUAUUGCUGAUACUUAAUUUGCUUGGAUUCCUGGACCAAAUGCUGUUUCAUUGUUACAAGUUUGCAUGUGGAAAAAAACAAUUACUGUAUCGGUCAUCUCCCGCCAAGGUAGAGGGACCCCAAAAAAGUAAAUACAUUCACCAUCAUUCAGUCUAUUGCUGUCAGACCAGAUGUGUGCAUAUCAGUCGUACCUUAACUAUGAAUAGCUACAUUUUAUAGUACUCUUUGUAGAUGUUAUGUUUUAAUAGAUCGAUAGACAUAACGCAUACAAUAUUAAAUAACCACUCAUGAAAUAUAUAUUUUUGAGGCAGCUGUGCAAUUUGCCAGAUUUUUAUUGUCAGAAUACUUCAUCCAUUGACACAUGGAUUGGAGAGUUGAAGUAUAGUUAGUUUUUCUGGGAAAAGUGACACGGUACUUAACAGUGUGCAGACGUUGAUGCCAACACCCAUUGGUGUUACUGCAUUGUUGACGUAUUAACUUAAAUUACUAGGGUUCUUUUGCAGUUUGGGAAAGUGUCAAAAUAUAUUGUUAUAAUCUGUCUCUUGCUGUCGCUCCUACAAGCCAACACUUGUCAACCAGUAAAGUUUUUGAGUGAGCUCUCCCUUUAUUGUAAAUUUGUCUUAAAUGUUAGUUUGUUCCUUUUUGCUUCCAAUUCCAGUUCUGAAAAGUUUACCUUCUCAAAGUUAUUGAGAUUUGCUCUUGACCGCUUUUUGUAUUUUUGUUUUCACUAAGUAGUAGUUGGCCACUUGGCCAUGACGUUAUUCAUGUGCCAGUGUAGCGUUGUUAGAGUUUCACAUCCACGGUAUGCGCUUCAGCUAGUCCAGACUCGCUAGCAUCAUCAUUUUUUUUUACGCUUGUAUGUGUGAAGGUGGUAUCUCUGGCCUCACUUUCUCGUUACCAUUUUCUGGUGUUCUGUUAUGGCCGCACUCUUGGUAAAAAAAUAUCGUUAUAGUUGGAUUUGAGUUCCAGAAGCCCGCAGUUUUUUCUUUAUUGUUCCUACUUCUCAUCUGAGUUUUAUUUGGCUGGUACGAAAUUAUGAACCUUUUCCAACUUAAAUUCUCUUAUGCAAAAUGCUCAGAAUUAUUUUGGAAUAAUUUUAAUUUAUGCAAAAUGCUAGCACAAAAUUUUGCAUGGUGUUGCGUAAGUUGUGAGAGUUUACUAGUUGAAGAGCAUAUUGUGUUACCAGAGACUGCUGAACUAGGGUAGGCAACACAGCUGAAGGAGUAGUGUUAGUGCAGGACCUUUAGUAGAUGUUGCAGUGUAGCUCAUAUAUUUUGGUUAAUAAAUAUUAAUAUAUAUAUAUAUAAAUAAA